GGGUGUGUAGUUCAGUCUGGUCAGAACACUUGACUGUUAAUCAAGGAGUCGAAGGUUCAAAUCCUUCCAUACCCG
This 75-nucleotide transfer RNA is filed under the name Bacteriophage sp. RNAcentral's name for it is "tRNA-Asn". It matches the Rfam family "tRNA". From Rfam's summary of the family: Transfer RNA (tRNA) molecules are approximately 80 nucleotides in length. Their secondary structure includes four short double-helical elements and three loops (D, anti-codon, and T loops). Further hydrogen bonds mediate the characteristic L-shaped molecular structure. tRNAs have two regions of fundamental functional importance: the anti-codon, which is responsible for specific mRNA codon recognition, and the 3' end, to which the tRNAs corresponding amino acid is attached (by aminoacyl-tRNA synthetases). tRNAs cope with the degeneracy of the genetic code in two manners: having more than one tRNA (with a specific anti-codon) for a particular amino acid; and 'wobble' base-pairing, i.e. permitting non-standard base-pairing at the 3rd anti-codon position. The record is from RNAcentral. RNAcentral also lists the same sequence under 1 other name.